Molecule: ribosomal RNA, 478 nt
Filed under: uncultured bacterium
Lineage: Bacteria
Description: bacterial SSU rRNA
Rfam family: Bacterial small subunit ribosomal RNA
Source: RNAcentral
UGGCGGCGUGCUUAACACAUGCAAGUCGAACGCUGAAGCUCCCAGCUUGCUGGGGGUGGAUGAGUGGCGAACGGGUGAGUACCACGUGAGUAACCUGCCCUUGACUCUGGGAUAAGCCCGGGAAACUGGGUCUAAUACUGGAUAGGACUGGCCAUCGCAUGGUGGUUGGUUGAAAGCUUUUUGCGGUUUUUGGAUGGACUCGCGGCCUAUCAGCUUGUUGGUGGGGUAAUGGCCUACCAAGGCUUUGACGGGUAGCCGGCCUGAGAGGGUGACCGGCCACACUGGGACUGAGACACGGCCCAGACUCCUACGGGAGGCAGCAGUGGGGGAUAUUGCACAAUGGGCGCAAGCCUGAUGCAGCGACGCCGCGUGAGGGAUGACGGCCUUCGGGUUGUAAACCUCUUUCAGUUGGGAAGAAGCCUUUCGGGGUGACGGUACCUUCAGAAGAAGCACCGGCUAACUACGUGCCAGCAGCAGC